ACUCCUACGGGAGGCAGCAGUGAGGAAUAUUGGACAAUGGGUGGAAGCCUGAUCCAGCCAUCCCGCGUGAAGGAUUAAGGUUCUAUGGACUGUAAACUUCUUUUGUAUAGGGAUAAACCUACCCUCGUGAGGGUAGCUGAAGGUACUAUACGAAUAAGCACCGGCUAACUCCGUGCCAGCAGCCGCGGUAAUACGGAGGGUGCAAGCGUUAUCCGGAUUUAUUGGGUUUAAAGGGUCCGUAGGCGGACUUAUAAGUCAGUGGUGAAAUCCGGCAGCUUAACUGUCGAACUGCCAUUGAUACUGUAAGUCUUGAGUAUAUUUGAGGUAGCUGGAAUAAGUAGUGUAGCGGUGAAAUGCAUAGAUAUUACUUAGAACACCAAUUGCGAAGGCAGGUUACCAAGUUAUAACUGACGCUGAUGGACGAAAGCGUGGGUAGCGAACAGGAUUAGAUACCCUGGUAGUCCACGCUGUAAACGAUGCUAACUCGUUUUUGGGCAUUAUAGUUCAGAGACCAAGCGAAAGUGAUAAGU
Molecule: ribosomal RNA, 530 nt
Filed under: uncultured bacterium
Lineage: Bacteria
Description: bacterial SSU rRNA
Rfam family: Bacterial small subunit ribosomal RNA
Source: RNAcentral